ACAGCGUAAGCCGAAAAGCUAUAAAAUAGUAGGCA
Bacteroidetes bacterium GWA2_30_7 is the source of this 35-nucleotide non-coding RNA. The record is from Rfam. NCBI's taxonomy places the organism in Bacteria, Pseudomonadati, Bacteroidota.